Molecule: ribosomal RNA, 1211 nt
Filed under: metagenome
Description: bacterial SSU rRNA
Rfam family: Bacterial small subunit ribosomal RNA
Source: RNAcentral
GGAUGAUCAGCCACACUGGAACUGACACACGGUCCAGACUCCUACGGGAGGCAGCAGUGAGGAAUUUUGCGCAAUGGGGGAAACCCUGACGCAGCAACGCCGCGUGAGUGAAGAAGGCCCUUGGGUCGUAAAGCUCUGUCAAUGGGGAAGAAAUUAUCUGGUAUUAAUAGUGCCUUGUAUUGACGGUACCCAUGAAGGAAGCACCGGCUAACUCCGUGCCAGCAGCCGCGGUAAUACGGGGGGUGCAAGCGUUAUUCGGAAUUAUUGGGCGUAAAGGGCACGCAGGCGGUCCUGUCAGUCAGAUGUGAAAGCCCGGGGCUCAACCCCGGACGUGCAUUUGAAACAGCAGGACUUGAGUAUGGGAGAGGAAAGGGGAAUUCCUGGUGUAGAGGUGAAAUUCGUAGAUAUCAGGAGGAACACCGGUGGCGAAGGCGCCUUUCUGGACCAAUACUGACGCUGAGGUGCGAAGGCGUGGGUAGCGAACGGGAUUAGAUACCCCGGUAGUCCACGCAGUAAACGUUGUAUGCUAGGUGUAGCGGGUAUUGACCCCUGCUGUGCCGCAGUUAACACAUUAAGCAUACCGCCUGGGGAGUACGGUCGCAAGACUAAAACUCAAAGAAAUUGACGGGGGCCCGCACAAGCGGUGGAGCAUGUGGUUUAAUUCAACGCAACGCGAAGAACCUUACCCAGACUUGACAUCUUGAGAAUCCUUUAGAAAUUUAGGAGUGCCUUCGGGAGCUCAAAGACAGGUGCUGCAUGGCUGUCGUCAGCUCGUGUCGUGAGAUGUUUGGUUAAGUCCAGCAACGAGCGCAACCCUUGUCUUCAGUUGCCAGCACGUAAUGUGGGAUCUCUGAAGAGACUGCCCCGGUUAACGGGGAGGAAGGUGGGGAUGACGUCAAGUCCUCAUGGCCCUUAUGUCUGGGGCUACACACGUGCUACAAUGGUAUGUACAACGGGCAGCAAGGCAGCGAUGCCAAGCAAAUCCCUUAAAGCAUAUCCCAGUCCGGAUUGGAGUCUGCAACUCGACUCCAUGAAGUUGGAAUCGCUAGUAAUCGUGGAUCAGCAUGCCACGGUGAAUACGUUCCCGGGCCUUGUACACACCGCCCGUCACACCAUGAGAGUUGAUUGUACCCGACGUCACUGGGCCAACCCUUCGGGGGGGCAGGUGCCUAAGGUAUGGUUGAUAAUUAGGGUGAAGUCGUAACAAGGUA